UGUUUUUUGCUUAUAUAUGUG
Molecule: microRNA, 21 nt
Filed under: Lotus japonicus
Lineage: Eukaryota; Viridiplantae; Streptophyta; Magnoliopsida; Fabales; Fabaceae
Description: lja-miR11116-3p
Source: miRBase by way of RNAcentral